GUGCUCGUUCGGGCAGACAUAUACUAAAAUUGGAACGAUACCAGGAAGAUUAGCAUGGCCUGCGCAGGAUGACACACAAUUCAUGAAGCGUUCGCAUAUCUUU
This 103-nucleotide small nuclear RNA is filed under the name Microcebus murinus (gray mouse lemur). The record is from RNAcentral. Lineage: Eukaryota; Metazoa; Chordata; Mammalia; Primates; Cheirogaleidae.